Molecule: long non-coding RNA, 1073 nt
Filed under: Falco tinnunculus (common kestrel)
Lineage: Eukaryota; Metazoa; Chordata; Aves; Falconiformes; Falconidae
Description: lncRNA (ENSFTIG00000012869.1)
Source: RNAcentral
AUGCGCAAGUAUCCGAGAGAGAGAAAGGAGAGCGGGGGGGGCGAUGCACAGCGUUCACGCGGCCCGGCCUCCGGGGAGGGGCGCCGUGCGUGCGUCACGCUGCGACGCACCGCGGAAAACUCGCGGAGAAACCAAUGGGUGAAAAGGCGAAACGGAAAAUUAAUUGAACCGGGCCUGGCCUGCCCUAAUGAGCACACCGUGAGAUCCACCCCCGAGCAAAGAGAGCCCCCUGCUAACAAAGCCCCGCCAGCACGUGCGCGGCGGCGAAGAGCGCAGUCCCUCCGAACUGGGACACGCCGGGAAGACCCGGUGACAGCUGUGCCUGAACCUGCCCGAGGACAGCUGUGCGGGGUGUCCAGGCACGCGCUGGGAGGUGCGGGGCUGUGCGGACCCACCGCCCCGCACCGCCCCCUGCGCAGCCGUGCCGUGGGCGGGUGUCCCGGCCCCGCGGGUGGGUCCGCUCCCGCGCACCGGGCGAAGGACCCAGAGACAGCAGCAGCGGCCACCACCACCACCCCCCCCGCGAGGGACAACAGCCUCCCGCCCCCGCCGCACCCCCCUCCCCUUCCCCGGCCCGACCCCGGCUCUCCCUGCCGCGGACGGGUGCGUCCCCGAUCUGGCGUUAUCGUUAUCUAUUUAACUCUUGUUCUCUUCCUAGAAAACACGUGUACGCAUGUGUUUCAGUUUGCUCUCUCCAAGAGCCUGGUGGGACUAAUCGCAUGGUGAUCAGGAACUUGCACGCCUGGCUCCAGCAGCUGUUCUCGACGUACCAAAAGCUCAGCAGCCUUUGCAGGGUCUGGGCCUGUGCUGCACAGCAGGGCGCAGGAGCAGAUUUACCGGGGAAGAAAUCUGGUGCUCCCAUAAGUGCUGCACGUGCUCAGAGAGUGAUGCAAGAGGGAAGCUUGUGUUGCUCUGUGAUUCUGCCCCCAUCGCCACCGUAACCAAACCCAAUGAGCUUCCUGGCAUCGGUAGUAAUACUGCUGACUUUGCCAUCUCAUCUUGUAUUUUAAUGUCUUUUAAAACAGUUCUUCUCUGGCGUAUUCUCAAUAAACUAUUCCCUUUGUUCUUGUUUC